CAGUAAGUGCUUAAUAAGGAAU
Molecule: microRNA, 22 nt
Filed under: Ornithorhynchus anatinus (platypus)
Lineage: Eukaryota; Metazoa; Chordata; Mammalia; Monotremata; Ornithorhynchidae
Description: oan-miR-1377
Source: miRBase by way of RNAcentral